UAACCCUUGUGGAGGAGGACGCCGAAGGUGGGGCUAAUGACUGGGGUGAAGUCGUAACAAGGUAGCCGUACCGGAAGGUGCGGCUGGAUCACCUCCUAACAGGGAGACAACAAAAUGUUUAAUAUUAUUAUUUUGUCACCUUAGGUCGAUCGGUAUCUCACAUUCUUAAUUUAUUAAGGAUUUCAUUUCCUAAGUUUUUCUAGGUCACACCCAUUAUUUUUCCUGGGCCAUUAGCUCAGGUGGUUAGAGCGCACCCCUGAUAAGGGUGAGGUCCCUGGUUCAAGUCCAGGAUGGCCCAUAUCUCUAUGUUGGGGGUAUAGCUCAGUUGGUAGAGCGCCUGCUUUGCAAGCAGGAUGUCAGCGGUUCGAGUCCGCUUACCUCCACUGAUUACCACCUCUUCCAUAAUCUUUAGAAAGGGAAUUUUUUGAGUCGUGACCAAAUCCUGAAAGAAUCUAGCUUCCUAAUGAAAUCAUUAAGAUGCUGGACUCAUUGAAUUAAUUUCAUUGUUUUCAGAGAACCUUGACAACUGCAUAGAUUAUUUUUUUUAAAGACAAUAAGCAUCUUUAAUGAUGCAGAUUUAUUAUUUGUGCGAAUGCAUUAAUAACAAUUCUAUUAAGCUGAUGCUUCAAUUUUUGAAGUUAUUGGUCAAGCUACAAAGGGCUCACGGAGGAUACCUAGGCACACAGA
RNAcentral lists this unclassified non-coding RNA (687 nucleotides) under uncultured Prochlorococcus sp. RNAcentral's name for it is "partial may contain 16S ribosomal RNA, 16S-23S ribosomal RNA intergenic spacer, and 23S ribosomal RNA". The stretch from base 1 to 99 matches the Rfam family "Bacterial small subunit ribosomal RNA", at positions 1436 to 1533 of the family's 1533-position model. Lineage: Bacteria; Bacillati; Cyanobacteriota; Cyanophyceae; Synechococcales; Prochlorococcaceae. The record is from RNAcentral.